Molecule: ribosomal RNA, 764 nt
Filed under: uncultured prokaryote
Description: bacterial SSU rRNA
Rfam family: Bacterial small subunit ribosomal RNA
Source: RNAcentral
AGAGUUUGAUCCUGGCCCAGGAUGAACGCUGACAGAAUGCUUAACACAUGCAAGUCGAUUCAAGUUACCUUCGGGUAAUGAGGAUGGCGGACGGGUGAGUAACGCGUAAGGAACUUGCCUCUUGGUCUGGGACAACUGUUGGAAACGACAGCUAAUACCGGAUAUUAUGAGAUUCUCGCAUGGGAAACUUAUGAAAGCUAUAUGCGCCAAGAGAGAGCCUUGCGUUCCAUUAGCUAGUUGGUGGGGUAACGGCCCACCAAGGCGACGAUGGAUAGCCGGCCUGAGAGGGUGAACGGCCACAAGGGGACUGAGACACGGCCCUUACUCCUACGGGAGGCAGCAGUGGGGAAUAUUGGACAAUGGGCCACAAGCCUGAUCCAGCAAUUCUGUGUGCACGAUGAAGGUCUUCGGAUUGUAAAGUGCUUUCAGUUGGGAAGAAGAAAGUGACGGUACCAACAGAAGAAGCGACGGCUAAAUACGUGCCAGCAGCCGCGGUAAUACGUAUGUCGCAAGCGUUAUCCGGAUUUAUUGGGCGUAAAGCGCGUCUAGGCGGAAAAAUAAGUCUGAUGUUAAAAUGCGGGGCUCAACUCCGUAUUGCGUUGGAAACUGUUUUUCUAGAGUACUGGAGAGGUGGGCGGAACUACAAGUGUAGAGGUGAAAUUCGUAGAUAUUUGUAGGAAUGCCNAUGGAGAAGUCAGCUCACUGGACAGGUACUGACGCUAAAGCGCGAAAGCGUGGGGAGNAAACAGGAUUAGAUACCCUGG